AAACUACAAGGGGAGCCGAAGCUCCCCCAGAAGUAGUUGCGUGCUCUAUUUUUAUUAUUGGUUUCGGGCUUCUUGUUUUUGUUGAUCGCCCUCGCCAUGAAGUUUCACCUUCAUGACACUCCCAAUCGGGAGUCAAGAGCAAACGGAUUGCUUUGGUCGCUGUGUUGCUGAUCUACGAUCCAACCAGUUCAGGCUCUGCCUUAGGGCAGUU
This 211-nucleotide unclassified non-coding RNA is filed under the name Pseudomonas simiae. RNAcentral's name for it is "Pseudomonas sRNA P29". Lineage: Bacteria; Pseudomonadati; Pseudomonadota; Gammaproteobacteria; Pseudomonadales; Pseudomonadaceae. The record is from RNAcentral.